RNA transcript from Carassius carassius (crucian carp), 1107 nucleotides. It is a transcript of the gene named vesicle transport protein GOT1B-like, with no coding region annotated. The transcript is spliced from 6 exons. The record is from RefSeq and is a predicted model, not a curated record. NCBI's taxonomy places the organism in Eukaryota, Metazoa, Chordata, Actinopteri, Cypriniformes, Cyprinidae.
UUUGUAAAAGUGAAUCGGGGAAAGUUUCUCCGGAAGCUGAAAGAGAGUGUUUCCGGUACGCGUGGCCGCCGCUCCGGUGUCAGCUGUCGAGCGAAACAAGCCAAGAUGAUCUCCCUCACCGACUCCCAGAAAAUUGGAAUAGGGCUAAUGGGAUUUGGUGUAUUUUUCCUGUUUUUUGGGAUGAUCCUGUUUUUUGAUAAAGCUCUCCUUGCCAUAGGAAAUAUCUUUUUUGUUGUCGGGCUGGCAUUUGUGAUUGGGCUGGAGAGGACCUUCAGGUUCUUCUUUCAGAAGCACAAAAUGAAAGCCACAAUCUUCUUUCUAGGAGGUGUCUUCAUAGUGCUGAUUGGGUGGCCCAUCAUCGGAGUGAUUCUAGAGUUUUAUGGCUUCUUUCUGUUAUUCAGGGGAUUCUUUCCAGCGGUCGUAGGCUUUAUCAGGAGGAUUCCUGUGCUGGGAUACUUGCUGAAUCUUCCCUUUAUUAGUGGGCCUUCCUAAGGCUGAGUGGACAGUCAGCUAUCUUGGUCAGUCACUGCUAAUUCUGUGCGCAUUAUGUGGACAAAGUGAGUGAAAGCAACAACAUGGUUUAAAAGACUCCGCUUAUUUAUGAUGUUUUUUCUAAAGCAUUACUAUAAAACAGCCAUGAGAAGUAUAGAGGUCGUAUUACUGAAGCUUUAUAUUCAGACAUGUUUCCAUUGCAAGGAGGUCUGAGUGAUAUUUACAUCAGUGAGAAGCAAACUGUGCAGCGUGGAAGAGAAGCCACUCCUUCGUCAGCCGUUUGCCAAAGCAAAGCCAUCUAUAGAGCUGCGUCACAACAUCCAGCAUCGCUGAAGAACUGUGGCCUGCUUUAUAUAUACGCAAACUUCAUGAAGUUGAAGAAGAGGAUCCUCUCAUCAGGAACGUUUGUUUGAAUGUGUAAAAGCGACUUCUGAAAGUCUAUUCUGUUACAACAUUACCUUUUUACAUGGUUGUGUCUAUAUUUGUAUUUUAAAGCGGGAGGAGAGCUUGAUGACUCUUAAUUUCUGGAUUUUUUUUUUUUAUGACACCUGCUGAAGUGUGAUAUUAACACUUUCUGGUAAAAUUAAACUGUUUUUAAUCAGACUGGCAUAUAGA